GAUGAACGCUGGCGGUAUGCUUAACACAUGCAAGUCGAACGGAACCCUUCGGGGUUUAGUGGCGGACGGGUGAGUAACGCGUGAGAAACUGCCUUCAGAUUGGGGACAACAGUUGGAAACGACUGCUAAUACCGAAUAUGCCUUAGGGUAAAAGAUUUAUUGUCUGAAGAUGUGCUCGCGUCUGAUUAGCUAGUUGGUGAGGUAAAAGCUUACCAAGGCAACGAUCAGUAGCUGUUCUGAGAGGAAGACCAGCCACACUGGGACUGAGACACGGCCCAG
Molecule: ribosomal RNA, 279 nt
Filed under: uncultured bacterium
Lineage: Bacteria
Description: partial 16S ribosomal RNA
Rfam family: Bacterial small subunit ribosomal RNA
Source: RNAcentral